UGGCUCAGGAUGAACGCUGGCGGCGUGCCUAACACAUGCAAGUCGAACGGGAAGCAUCCUUCGGGAUGCGGAGAGUGGCGAACGGGUGAGUAACACGUAGCUAUCUGCCCUGAAGAGGGGGACAACAUCUGGAAACAGGUGCUAAUACCCCAUGACCUUCUACGAGAGAAAAACUACGGUGCUUUGGGAUGAGGCUGCACCCCAUCAGCUAGUUGGUAAGGUAAAAGCUUACCAAGGCUACGACGGGUAGGGGACCUGAGAGGGUGACCCCCCACACUGGGACUGAGACACGGCCCAGACUCCUACGGGAGGCAGCAGUGAGGGAUAUUGCACAAUGGGCGCAAGCCUGAUGCAGCAACGCCGCGUGGGUGAAGAAGGCUUUCGGGUCGUAAAGCCCUUUUCUGUGUGACGAGAGAGGACGGUAGCACAGGAAUAAGUGUCGGCUAACUACGUGCCGGCAGCCGCGGUAAAACGUAGGACGCAAGCGUUACUCGGAAUCACUGGGCGUAAAGCGCGUGCAGGCGGAUUGAUAAGUUACUCAUGAAAGCUCCUGGCUAAACUGGGAGAGGUUGAGUAAAACUGGCAGUCUAGAGUGGAUGAGAGGUAGGUAGAAUUCCUUGUGUAGUGGUGAAAUGCGUAGAUAUGAGGAAGAAUACCAGUGGCGAAGGCGACUUACUGGCAUCCAACUGACGCUCAGACGCGAAAGCAUGGGUAGCGAACGGGAUUAGAAACCCCGGUAGUCCAUGCCGUAAACGAUGUACACUAAACGUUUGUAGUCCUACGGGGUUAUGAGUGUUGAAGCUAACGCGAUAAGUGUACCGCCUGGGGAGUACGGUCGCAAGGCUAAAACUCAAAGGAAUUGACGGGGGCCCGCACAAGCAGCGGAGCGUGUGGUUUAAUUCGAGUAUACGCGAACCUUACCUGGGUUUGACAUGAUAGUAGUACGGAAGCGAAAGCGGAAGGACUCUUCGGAGAGCUAUCACAGGUGCUGCAUGGUUGUCGUCAGCUCGUGCCGUGAGGUGUUCGGUUAAGUCCGCAAACGAGCGCAACCCUCGGCGUUAGUUACAAGUGUCUAGCGCGACUGCCCGUGACAAACGGGAGGAAGGUGGGGAUGACGUCAAAUCAGCAUGGCCUUUAUAUCCAGGGCUACACACACGCUACAAUGGUCGGUACAAUGGGUCGCGAAACCGCGAGGUGGAGCCAAUCCUCAAAAGCCGAUCUCAGUUCGGAUUGCAGGCUGCAACUCGCCUGCAUGAAGUCGGAGUUGCUAGUAACCGCGUAUCAGCACGGCGCGGUGAAUACGUUCCCGGGCCUUGUACACACCGCCCGUCACGUCAUGGAAGCGGGUCACGCCUAAAGGUCGAGGAAGCUAACCUAACGGAGGCUACUGCCGAGGGCAGGACUGAUGACUGGGACGAAGU
RNAcentral lists this ribosomal RNA (1421 nucleotides) under uncultured prokaryote. RNAcentral's name for it is "partial 16S ribosomal RNA". It matches the Rfam family "Bacterial small subunit ribosomal RNA". The record is from RNAcentral.